This is a long non-coding RNA of Eleginops maclovinus (Patagonian blennie), 2323 nucleotides long. RefSeq lists it as uncharacterized. The transcript has 3 exons. NCBI's taxonomy places the organism in Eukaryota, Metazoa, Chordata, Actinopteri, Perciformes, Eleginopidae. The record is from RefSeq and is a predicted model, not a curated record.
AAGAAACACCUGUUCCUGUUGCCGCCUCGUGAUGGCACUGCUGCGGACAGCGAGAGUAAGCAUGGCUACUGAACUCAAUUAGAGUUUUAUUUUGGUUUAAAGAAACGACGACUAAACAAUUAAGCAGAGGAGGACGGUGAAGAGGAACACUUUGAAGACAAGUCUUGGAAUGAAAACAACAACGGCAGUGAGCGAUUAAAUGAACUGCCCCAUCCGCUAGUUUAACAAGGCUAAUGCUAGUGACCUAAACACAAACAAAUAUUAAGGAGGGCCAAGUCUUAAGCAAGGCAGAUACACCAGACCAUUUCAGUCACCUGGCGCAUACCCUUGGGAUGGAUGUUUCUGUGCAGAAGAGGAAACAACACAGUAUAAGUCAGCAGUUUAGUCGAUGCAGAGGGAGUCUACACGAGACGCCUGCAGCUGCGUGUAUUGAGACGACGGCAGUAUUCUGUACCUGGCCUCUUUGUGGCAUAUAGAUGGCAACCAUAAACUCAUCAGGUUUAUGAAGACUAUGGGAUCGACUGAAACGGACCUCACAGUCUUCAUGGAGGCAUUGUGUCAGUCCCCGAGGUUCAGCUGGCCCGUGAGCUCUCAGAUGAAGAGGUUGCUAUUUUGCCAGCUCCAGGAGUUUCUGUAACUGAUGCACUUAGAUCAUAUGUAGAGACUGCAAGUGUUAUCAAGAAUCAUAGCAGACUGAUGUCCAACCCAUGCUUUUAUUUAGCAUGAUAGAACAAGCAAGGAUAAACUGAAAGUUUGCUUUCCUUAAGAAGAAUAAAAGAAAGAAAGCUGUUUUACUUUGAAGCUCUACCAUAAUUACUGUUAUGAUCUCGCAAAUGGACUUCCUGAACAGCGUUUCUGAACACACUCCUUUACUUCCCGUCUCAUUAUUGUCCACAGAAUGAAUAACAUGAAUGAUGUUCUGUCAACACUGAAGAUGCAGAACUGUUUGGUUUCAGUAAAUGGAAAAAAUAUGUUGCAUAAAACAAUAGUCAACUAUUGCACGGUGUGUUAAAGACACUGAACUUGUGUCAAUUGACCUGACUGAACAGUGCAUGAAAUGACAUCUGUUUGAAAAAAACUGAAACAAGUCCAAAUCCACUCUGCACUAUUUAUGGCAGAGACAAGUGCUUUCUCAAAGUCCAUGUAGGUUUUGAAAUGAGCUGGCAGCUUGAGUGUUUCAAAGCAUGUAGGAAAAGUUCCCCCAGAAAUCUCCACUUACAGCUCAGGAGGAAGCAUCUCCCAGCCAACCCAGAAUGUCAGCAGCUGAGCCAGUGUACCUGAUGAAGCUGAAAGUCAUAAAAUAGAUUCAAGAAAACAUUUAGUUCGACUUUAAUUAAUCAUAUUUAUCCAUGACACAUUAAGGCAUUUGUAAAGAGAACAAUACAUUAGCCAAAUAAGGUGUUAAUACCCAUUUCAAUGAACAUCCUUAGAAAGCCAGUGACGCGGCACGUGGACUCUAGGUCAAAGUCUUCAUCAUCACUGUCCUCAACUGGCCAUGUGAUUUUUUUGUAGGAGCAUCUUAAAUAAAAACAAAUAUUAAUUAUUUUAAAAAGGGAGAACUUAUUUUGGUGAAGGAAUAUGCAGAUCACAUUCAAUCAAAUAUAACUGAAUUACUGACUUACCUGAGGUGUGAACUGCAUUUCAGCCAUUUUGGGGAAAAGAAGUGAGACCACAUCUGGCCUAGAUGUCAGCAGGGGCCAUACCAUCACAUCUUUCAGUCCCUUUCUGAACUGUUUAAUUUGGCGCAUGGUCCUCCCAAGGACCUAAGAGACCGAUAUUUCAGCCCAAAUCCUCAACCCAAAUACAGUAGGGAAAAUGUUCAUAAAAGCACAAUAAAGUGCUUUAUAAAAUCCAUUCAAACUCGAGAACAGAAUAUAUGAACCCCUUAUAAGACAUUUACGCAUUUUAGAAUGUUUGCAGCUAUUCCGAUGUGUAUAUUUCCAGGACGUCCCUUCAUUUCACAACACAUCGCAUUGUACCUGGAUAACAAGUAACUAUUGGAUGAAUGGGGAAAUUCCACUUUCUACAUUUCAGCAACUGGUGUCUAGUGCUCGAAUGCUUAAAAACUAAAUGAAAGAGAAGUUAACAAUGGUGAACUCUUGACCAUCACCUUUUUAAAGUAGAUUAUCAAAAGGCCAGACGUGUGUUGUUGAGCUGCUCUCAAUGUACCGUAGUGUGAUUUUUUUGUAAAGGAUUACAUUUAGUUUUUUGUGAUCAUUUUUCCUACUUUGUCCACAUUUGUGAAAUUGAGGUUUUGUUAAAUAUGCCACUGUCCUAUCAACGCUUGCAGGCGUAAGAAAUGUAGUAGUAAAACUGUAUACAG